CAGUCGCCGCGGGAAUACGUAGGUGGCAAGCGUUGUCCGGAAUUAUUGGGCGUAAAGGGCUCGCAGGCGGUUUCUUAAGUCUGAUGUGAAAGCCCCCGGCUCAACCGGGGAGGGUCAUUGGAAACUGGGAAACUUGAGUGCAGAAGAGGAGAGUGGAAUUCCACGUGUAGCUGUGAAAUGCGUAGAGAUGUGGAGGAACACCAGUGGCGAAGGCGACUCUCUGGUCUGUAACUGACGCUGAGGAGCGAAAGCGUGAGGAGCGAACAGGAUUAGAUACCCCGGUAGUCCCUGUCUCUUAUAA
RNAcentral lists this ribosomal RNA (301 nucleotides) under uncultured bacterium. RNAcentral's name for it is "partial 16S ribosomal RNA". It matches the Rfam family "Bacterial small subunit ribosomal RNA", at positions 509 to 809 of the family's 1533-position model. The record is from RNAcentral.